GAUGAACGCUGGCGGCGUGCUUAACACAUGCAAGUCGAACGGUGAAGGCGGAGCUUGCUCUGCUGGAUCAGUGGCGAACGGGUGAGUAACACGUGAGCAAUCUGCCCCUGACUCUGGGAUAAGCGCUGGAAACGGCGUCUAAUACUGGAUACGAGCUGCGAAGGCAUCUUCAGCAGCUGGAAAGAAUUUCGGUCAGGGAUGAGCUCGCGGCCUAUCAGCUUGUUGGUGAGGUAAUGGCUCACCAAGGCGUCGACGGGUAACCGGCCUGAGAGGGUGACCGGCCACACUGGGACUGAGACACGGCCCAGACUCCUACGGGAGGCAGCAGUGGGGAAUAUUGCACAAUGGGCGAAAGCCUGAUGCAGCAACGCCGCGUGAGGGACGACGGCCUUCGGGUUGUAAACCUCUUUUAGCAGGGAAGAAGCGAAAGUGACGGUACCUGCAGAAAAAGCGCCGGCUAACUACGUG
Molecule: ribosomal RNA, 468 nt
Filed under: uncultured bacterium
Lineage: Bacteria
Description: partial 16S ribosomal RNA
Rfam family: Bacterial small subunit ribosomal RNA
Source: RNAcentral